This 450-nucleotide ribosomal RNA is filed under the name uncultured Glomeromycotina. RNAcentral's name for it is "SSU rRNA". It matches the Rfam family "Eukaryotic small subunit ribosomal RNA", at positions 569 to 1024 of the family's 1831-position model. The record is from RNAcentral. Lineage: Eukaryota; Fungi; Glomeromycota.
AGCAGCCGCGGUAAUUCCAGCUCCAAUAGCGUAUAUUAAAGUUGUUGCAGUUAAAAAGCUCGUAGUUGAAUUUCGGGAUCAAUUUAUUGGUCGUGCUAUUGUACGUACUGGUAUUAUUGAUUCCUACCUUCUGACGAACCAUGAUGUCAUUAAUUUGGUGUCAUGGGGAAUCAGGACUGUUACUUUGAAAAAAUUAGAGUGUUUAAAGCAGGCUCACGCUUGAAUACAUUAGCAUGGAAUAACGAAAUAGGACGUUUGAUUCUAUUUUGUUGGUUUCUAGGAUCGACGUAAUGAUUAAUAGGGAUAGUUGGGGGCAUUAGUAUUCAAUUGUCAGAGGUGAAAUUCUUGGAUUUAUUGAAGACUAACUACUGCGAAAGCAUUUGCCAAGGAUGUUUUCAUUAAUCAAGAACGAAAGUUAGGGGAUCGAAGACGAUCAGAUACCGUCGUAGU